This 306-nucleotide ribosomal RNA is filed under the name Clostridioides difficile. RNAcentral describes it as "bacterial SSU rRNA". It matches the Rfam family "Bacterial small subunit ribosomal RNA", at positions 1136 to 1441 of the family's 1533-position model. Lineage: Bacteria; Bacillati; Bacillota; Clostridia; Peptostreptococcales; Peptostreptococcaceae. The record is from RNAcentral.
CACUCUAGAGAGACUGCCAGUGAUAACCUGGAGGAAGGUGGGGAUGACGUCAAAUCAUCAUGCCCCUUAUGCUUAGGGCUACACACGUGCUACAAUGGGUAGUACAGAGGGUUGCCAAGCCGUAAGGUGGAGCUAAUCCCUUAAAGCUACUCUCAGUUCGGAUUGUAGGCUGAAACGCGCCUACAUGAAGCUGGAGUUACUAGUAAUCGCAGAUCAGAAUGCUGCGGUGAAUGCGUUCCCGGGUCUUGUACACACCGCCCGUCACACCACGGGAGUUGGAGACGCCCGAAGCCGAUUAUCUAACCU